Molecule: ribosomal RNA, 460 nt
Filed under: uncultured bacterium
Lineage: Bacteria
Description: partial 16S ribosomal RNA
Rfam family: Bacterial small subunit ribosomal RNA
Source: RNAcentral
CCUACGGGUGGCAGCAGUGAGGAAUAUUGGUCAAUGGACGCUAGUCUGAACCAGCCAAGUAGCGUGAAGGAUGACUGCCCUAUGGGUUGUAAACUUCUUUUAUAAAGGAAUAAAACGAGGCACGUAUGCCUCUUUGCAUGUACUUUAUGAAUAAGGAUCGGCUAACUCCGUGCCAGCAGCCGCGGUAAUACGGAGGAUCCGAGCGUUAUCCGGAUUUAUUGGGUUUAAAGGGAGCGUAGAUGGGUUGUUAAGUCAGUUGUGAAAGUUUGCGGCUCAACCGUAAAAUUGCAAUUGAUACUGGCAGUCGUGAGUACAGUAGAGGUAGGCGGAAUUCGUGGUGUAGCGGUGAAAUGCUUAGAUAUCACGAAGAACCCCGAUUGCGAAGGCAGCUUACUAAACUGUGACUGACACUGAUGCUCGAAAGUGUGGGUAUCAAACAGGAUUAGAUACCCUAGUAGUC